RNAcentral lists this small RNA (718 nucleotides) under Pongo abelii (Sumatran orangutan). Its description in RNAcentral is "retained intron". Lineage: Eukaryota; Metazoa; Chordata; Mammalia; Primates; Hominidae. The record is from RNAcentral.
UCUCUACUAAAAAUACAAAAAUCAACCAGGUGUGGUGGCGGGCACCUGGAAUCCUAGCUACUUGGGAGGCUGAGGCAGGAGGAUUGCUUGAACCCAGGAGGUGGAGGUUGCAGUGAGUUGAGACUGUGCCAUUGCACUCUAGCCUGGGAACAAGAACAAAACUCCGUCUCAGGAAAAAAAAAAAAAAAGAUUUAGUUGUGCUCAAGCAUCCAGAUUAUCUUUUCUUUUCAAAACCAGCCUUACUGACUAAAUGUUAAAUAUGUACUAGUCGUUAUUAGUUUGCUGAAUAUUGCCUAGUGAUUAUUGAGUAUUUAUUCUCACCUUUCAGACAUGAGCUUCUGAAUUCAACACGUGAAGAUUUACAGCUUGAUAAGCCAGCUUCAGGAGUAAAGGAAGAAUGGUAUGCCAGAAUCACUAAAUUAAGAAAGAUGGUGGAUCAGCUUUUCUGCAAAAAAUUUGCGGAAGCCUUGGGGAGCACUGAAGCCAAGGCUGUACCAUACCAAAAAUUUGAGGCACACCCGAAUGAUCUGUACGUGGAAGGACUGCCAGAAAACAUUCCUUUCCGAAGUCCCUCAUGGUAUGGAAUCCCAAGGCUGGAAAAAAUCAUUCAAGUGGGCAAUCGAAUUAAAUUUGUUAUUAAAAGACCAGAACUUCUGACUCACAGUACCACUGAAGUUACUCAGCCAAGAACAAAUACACCAGGUAAACUAGUUGUGAA